Musa acuminata subsp. malaccensis (wild Malaysian banana) is the source of this 867-nucleotide long non-coding RNA. RefSeq lists it as uncharacterized. Lineage: Eukaryota; Viridiplantae; Streptophyta; Magnoliopsida; Zingiberales; Musaceae. The record is from RefSeq and is a predicted model, not a curated record.
GAGACCAGUCGAGGAAACAAAGGUAGAGGAACGAAAGAUGACGGAGAAUUCACCCCCAAAAACCAAAAAAAAAAGGAGUAGGAAUUAAAGAAAGCGAAGGCGGAGGGGAUUGAAUUCGUGUUGAUGGCGCCUGCUGAGGGCAUUGAAAUCUUUUCGCGGGUUGGUUUCUCUGUCGUCUGAUUUCUCCCUUUUCGUCCGUCGCCCACCGACAACAAAACAUAGGAUCGAGGCCUCCGGCGAAGGUCCCCUGGCACCUUUCCUUUCUUCUAUGUUCCUCCGAGUCGACGAAGAAGGCUCUGCUUUUGCUUCUGUCGAGGCUGGAUCCGCCGACCGGCGGGAAGCUUAGGGAAUUAGGUUGGCUGAGAUCCGAGGAAGGCCGUUGGGUUGAAGGAGGCCUCCUCGGAUUCAUGGCGCCGGAUCGAUGCCAUUGGGUUCUGAGAACGUUGAUGCUUCCCGAACCAUUACCCUGGAAUUGCAAGGAUUUGGUGCUCAAGGACUCCGUGAAGCACGAGAGUCGGGGAUGUCCUUCGCGACAGCCGCGGCUCCUCGUCUGCCCCGCGGUGGUGGGAACCUUACUUCGGUCCCCGUGACUUCCACCGCGCCUCCUCUCGCCGUUCCCUCGCAGAUGAAGCUGCUCCAAGGACGAAGGACGGCGCCAAUGGCUGAUCUAUCUAUGGACACUUCAUUGGUGGUGGCACAUAAAAGACUGCUAGUAUUUCUGGAUGUCUGUCACCGGCAACUCCGUGCUCUGCAACUUCAACUCGUCCGUCAUUAGAUUACAGAUCAAGUCUGAUGUUUUAUGUCAACAGCAUGAAGCUGCAACCAUCGACAGCUCCGUUCCUUCACAGACAACUGAACCUUGCAAAC